This 92-nucleotide transfer RNA is filed under the name Pandoraea pulmonicola. Its description in RNAcentral is "tRNA-Asn(gtt)". The record is from RNAcentral. Lineage: Bacteria; Pseudomonadati; Pseudomonadota; Betaproteobacteria; Burkholderiales; Burkholderiaceae.
GUAGAUGCUGGAACGAGGACAGUUCGCGUAAGUCGUUGAUUUACUUACCGGAACUGGUGGGUGCUGAGGGGUUCGAACCCCCGACCUACGCC